Molecule: non-coding RNA, 584 nt
Organism: Tachysurus fulvidraco (yellow catfish)
Lineage: Eukaryota; Metazoa; Chordata; Actinopteri; Siluriformes; Bagridae
Source: the annotation of a RefSeq genome assembly
UUUUUUGCAUUCAUUUUUCAUGCUUCAGUGAUCUGGGAGUGUUUAUAAUGCUGUGACUUUAACACUUCAUGACUGAGAGCUGCUGCUACAGCAACUUCACCCACAGCUACCAUGACUUUGAUCCCCGUCUUCAUCUGGACACUGAUCCUCUGGACUCAAGAAUGCAGAGGUCAAGUCACAGUAACUCAGACUCCUGCAGUGAAAUCUGUUCUUCCAGGAGAAACAGUCACCAUCAACUGUAGAACCAGUCCGGGAGUGUAUAGUGGAAACCAUUUACACUGGUAUCAGCAGAAACCUGGAGAAGCUCCUAAACUCCUGAUUAAAUAUGUAAAUCAGAGACAGUCAGAUUUUCCAGCUCGUUUCAGUGGCAGUGGAUCUGGAUCUGAUUUCACUCUGACCAUCAGUGGAGUCCAGACUGAAGAUGCAGGAGAUUACUACUGUCAGAGUUACCAUUACAUCAGUAGCACCAACCUGUUCACACAGUGUUAUAGAGUCGUACAAAAACCUCCCUCAGUCAGAUUGUAGAGAGACUGAACUGCUGCAGCUGGGAGCGACUGCAGGUGCUGAGUUGGAGGAUGUGAUAC